Mustela lutreola (European mink) is the source of this 512-nucleotide long non-coding RNA. RefSeq lists it as uncharacterized. The transcript has 3 exons. NCBI's taxonomy places the organism in Eukaryota, Metazoa, Chordata, Mammalia, Carnivora, Mustelidae. The record is from RefSeq and is a predicted model, not a curated record.
CCAGCAUUAAACUUCUGCAGCCCCACACACGCCGGCACACUUGCCUCCUUGCUCCCCCAACGGAUGCCUGCUUCAGCACGGGAUGGUUCAGACGGGAAGCUGGGUGAGACAGGAGAGUCUGGAUGAGAUCACACAGCCAGUGGGGAGAGAAACUGGCUUCCCAGCAGUGGUCUCUUCCCCCCGGAGCCUCCACUGCGGCAGCUGAGGAAAGGUCUCUGGAAGCGCCAGUACAGGAGGGGAACAGGAAACUAACAUUCAUCGGGUAAGAAUCAUCAUGCUAGAAGCCUUGACAAGAUUGCCUUAUACAUACAGCAAUUUUAUGAAGUACUAUUCAAACCAACGCCCAUUUAAAGAGGAGGAAAUAGACCCAGAGAAGUUAAUCAACUUGCCAGUGGCGACACAGCACAGUAAGGAUCUACAGGCAUCCAUAAUAUAUCUUUCCCUCCCAUGGCUCUGCAUUGUGCUAUUUCUGUUUUGCUUUUGCCUUUGGUCCUUUUGGCCUUUUAUCAAAA